Molecule: long non-coding RNA, 1153 nt
Organism: Molossus molossus (Pallas's mastiff bat)
Lineage: Eukaryota; Metazoa; Chordata; Mammalia; Chiroptera; Molossidae
Exons: 4
Source: RefSeq, a predicted model, not a curated record
GGCCUGCCCCAGGCUCCCAGACAGGUGCCUGGGUGGGGGAGGAGAAGGAAAACGGCAGCAGCCAGCCUUUACUUAUGAUGACUACAGUCCUCACACUGUGACACCAGUGCUUUCAGGGUUAGCUGGGCUCCAUCGGGUAAUUUCCAAGGCGGACAGGCCGGGCGGGGUGUGAAGACCAUGCGAGCCGCAGGCCCCACAAGUGGCGCGGGAACAGGGACCUGACACGGGGACGAAGGGAAGGACCCUGCUGGAAGAAGACGCGUCGAGAAGUUAAGAGCAAAAAUUAAGAAACCGCAGUCAACCUUGUUAUGCUGGUCAUCUACGAGCUCAUACAGGACUCCCAGGCCACUGGCAGAAGGGCAUGUUUGUGUUUUUCCACAGGAUGCCGAGGUGGCCACCAGAGAGGCUUGUCAGGUCCGCCGGGAUACCUGGAAAAAUGGCUGAGGCAGUUGAGGCUGAGUGAGGAUGGGGUGCAGCCACAGGCCUUCAGCACCAGAAGUGUCACACGCCUGCCUGGGGACAGACAAAGAAGCUGGCCCCUGAAGCGAAGCUCUGGUGGAGGCCUCAGCAGCCUCUGACUCUGACGAACUUACUCCUGGCCGUGGUAUAUAAAGUCUCAGGAACUACUAAAGCAAUUUGGGACUAGUCACAGGACGAUCAAACCUCCUGGACCUGAGGUUUAGCUCAAGGGGCAUGGAAAAUUACCUCUGGACGAUGGCAGGACGGACUUUGGCGACUUGCUGCCUCCAUGGGAGAUUCUCUGGGUCAGAGACACCUGAUGGCGAAAUUCGAAAGGGGCGUGGUUCCGGAAUCCUGCAGGCACCUCAGCACCUGAAAAUAUAACGGCUUGUGUACCUGAACCUUGGGUUUUUGUGAUUGGGAAAACUAACAUUACUAUUGACGGGGCACGAUAUAAUGUAACUUGUUUGAAUUGCAACCUAACCAACUGUAUAAAUAAUGUCCCUAGAGGGACCCAAGUUCUGGUGGCACAUCAACCUUCAUUCAUAAUGCUACCAGUAAAUAUUUCAGAACCAUGGUAUUCUGAAAAAGGACUUCAGGUUUUAGAAGAAAUAAAAAGGGGGUUCAGCCCUGGCCGGUUUAACUCAGCGGUUAGAGUGUCGGCCUGCGGUCCAGAGAGACCCGGGUUCAGUUC